RNAcentral lists this ribosomal RNA (510 nucleotides) under uncultured bacterium. Its description in RNAcentral is "partial 16S ribosomal RNA". It matches the Rfam family "Bacterial small subunit ribosomal RNA", at positions 28 to 507 of the family's 1533-position model. The record is from RNAcentral.
GACGAACGCUGGCGGCGUGCUUAACACAUGCAAGUCGAACGAAGAGCGAUGGAAGCUUGCUUCUAUCAAUCUUAGUGGCGAACGGGUAAGUAACGCGUAAUCAACCUGCCCUUCAGAGGGGGACAACAGUUGGAAACGACUGCUAAUACCGCAUACGAUCUAAUCUCGGCAUCGAGGAUAGAUGAAAGGUGGCCUCUACAUGUAAGCUAUCACUGAAGGAGGGGAUUGCGUCUGAUUAGCUAGUUGGAGGGGUAACGGCCCACCAAGGCGAUGAUCAGUAGCCGGUCUGAGAGGAUGAACGGCCACAUUGGGACUGAGACACGGCCCAGACUCCUACGGGAGGCAGCAGUGGGGAAUCUUCCGCAAUAGACGAAAGUCUGACGGAGCAACGCCGCGUGAGUGAUGACGGCCUUCGGGUUGUAAAGCUCUGUUAAUCGGGACGAAAGGCCUUCUUGCGAAUAGUGAGAAGGAUUGACGGUACCGGAAGAGAAAGCCACGGCUAACUACGUG